RNAcentral lists this ribosomal RNA (60 nucleotides) under Trichoderma harzianum. RNAcentral's name for it is "partial 28S ribosomal RNA". It matches the Rfam family "Eukaryotic large subunit ribosomal RNA", at positions 1 to 58 of the family's 3401-position model. Lineage: Eukaryota; Fungi; Ascomycota; Sordariomycetes; Hypocreales; Hypocreaceae. The record is from RNAcentral.
GUUGACCGCGGAUCAGGUAGGAAUACCCGCUGAACUUAAGCAUAUCAAUAAGCGGAGGAA